This is a long non-coding RNA of Salvia miltiorrhiza (redroot sage), 728 nucleotides long. RefSeq lists it as uncharacterized. The transcript has 3 exons. The record is from RefSeq and is a predicted model, not a curated record. NCBI's taxonomy places the organism in Eukaryota, Viridiplantae, Streptophyta, Magnoliopsida, Lamiales, Lamiaceae.
AUUAUUUCCGACUGCAACGCAGAUUAAAUCUACAGAUUUAAUCUAGAUUCAUAUUACAGUAUUAGCAUCACCAAGGCAUGAGGAUAUACUUCAUUUAUUCAUCAAUCUCAUUCUCAUACUUUACAAACUAUUACAACCAAUUUUCGUUCAUACCUUCCAAUUACACCACAAUAAUUUAGCAUUUGCAUAAAGAAGAAUAAAAAGAAAAGAAAAGAAAAGAAAAGAAAAAGUGUUGCCACCAUCCUUUGUUUCCCACAAUUCCUUCCACCAUCUACCACUUUAUACCAUGCCCUUUUAUCCCCACACGUCUAUCAAUUCAUAAGUUUUCUCUCACAACCAAGAAUUUCAUCAGCUGGUUGAUCCGAACUUCCAUCGUCCAUCAGAUUAACAACAGCAGAUUAACAACAGCAACAGCGGGAUCUUUUCAUAAAAGGUCAAGCGCAAGAGUAAGAACUACACAAGGAGUUAGAGUACCUUAGCAAAACUUUGCUAUCAGGUUGAGUUGUGAUGGGCGAUGAAGUGUUGCUGAGUGGAGUUUUUGUUGAACUUAAAGUAGGCUCAGAAAGGAUACAUGUCUUCAUACAUGUAUCUCAGUUAUGCAUUCCGCUGUAAACACUGAUUAUUUCAGUUACACCUUCCGUUGCAAACUCUGAUAAUGUUUUAGCCAAGCCCCUAACGAUGCCUUUUUCCUUUUAAGGAAUAUAACGCGUAUACAAGUUCUUUGAGUA